ACGUAGGGAGCGAGCGUUGUCCGGAUUCAUUGGGCGUAAAGAGCGCGCAGGCGGUUUGGUAAGUCGGAUGUGAAAUCCCGGGGCUCAACCCCGGACCUGCAUCCGAUACUGCCCGACUAGAGGUAGGUAGGGGAGAUCGGAAUUCCUGGUGUAGCGGUGAAAUGCGCAGAUAUCAGGAGGAACACCGGUGGCGAAGGCGGAUCUCUGGGCCUUACCUGACGCUCAGGCGCGAAAGCUAGGGGAGCGAACAGGA
Molecule: ribosomal RNA, 253 nt
Filed under: uncultured prokaryote
Description: partial 16S ribosomal RNA
Rfam family: Bacterial small subunit ribosomal RNA
Source: RNAcentral